AGAAAACACUAUAAAGUUGUCUUAUAGAUAUUUCAUCUGAAUUUUAUGAACGUCUGUAAUCAAUUUCCAAGGCUUCAUUGUACCCUUCAACUUUAGUUACUCAACCUAUUAAGAAAGUCAUCUCAUUGUAGGCUGACUUGAAGGAACAGUGGGGACUCUUCUAAUGUGGAUAAGAAAAAGAAAAAGGAGCCACCUCAGGACAGGAAAGUGUUCUGAGUAAACAGCUGGAGCCUAAUGGUCUGCCUCUUGGCCAUUGUUCUCCAGUGGCGUCUGCUUUCUGCAACAUGAAAAAGGAAGUCGUGAUAGUUUCCUACCUGACAGUAUUUGUAAGUCCUGCACGACAGCACACGUUUCACUUAAGAAUGUUCUGGAUUGCAGAUGAGGUAUCUAGAUUAUUUUAACAACCUCUAUCUCCUCUAAGGCUCAUCUCCUUCUGCAUUUUUGGGUAGAUUUGUCUUCCUAUUUUUUUUCACUGAUGAUGUAAAGGGCUGUCUAUACAACCCCUGGUCCUAAAAGACUCCCAUGGAGUUAUCUCAUCUGAAAUGCAUGAAAUGCUUUAUAAAAGCUAUUUUCCUUUCAUUUCUGUCCAUAGUAAAAAAAAGUGUGACCACAUGCCAUUAUUAUGUAAAUUAGUAUUUUAGGAAACUAAUGUUUUUCAAAUGAUCAAGAUUUUCUUCCCAUUUCGCAACUCAAGGUCCAAAAAUUAAAGUUGACAUAUCGCUUUUCACUUUACAAAGCACUUGUAACUUAUAUUGGCAGCCAAAAGCAAGUCUAGAGAAACAAUCACCUGUCAAUCAGUUCAUCUAAAGCAGAAGAACAAAAAGGUGGCAGAAAUAAAUCAUCAGUGCUUCUUCAAGAGUUGGAAACUGUGAGUAUCUAAAAAUACUUUAAUUACUUAAAAUAUACAUUAUUGGCUAU
This is a non-coding RNA of Microcebus murinus (gray mouse lemur), 918 nucleotides long. The record is from RefSeq and is a predicted model, not a curated record. NCBI's taxonomy places the organism in Eukaryota, Metazoa, Chordata, Mammalia, Primates, Cheirogaleidae.